RNAcentral lists this transfer RNA (73 nucleotides) under Allomicrovenator marinus. RNAcentral describes it as "Microvenator marinus tRNA". It matches the Rfam family "tRNA". From Rfam's summary of the family: Transfer RNA (tRNA) molecules are approximately 80 nucleotides in length. Their secondary structure includes four short double-helical elements and three loops (D, anti-codon, and T loops). Lineage: Bacteria; Deltaproteobacteria; Bradymonadales; Allomicrovenatoraceae. The record is from Rfam by way of RNAcentral.
GGGGCUGUAGCUCAGCUGGGAGAGCGCUUGACUGGCAGUCACGAGGUCACGGGUUCGAGCCCCGUCAGCUCCA